UCCAGUAAUGCAGCUAACGCAUUAAGCAUCCCGCCUGGGGAGUACGGUCGCAAGAUUAAAACUCAAAGGAAUAGACGGGGACCCGCACAAGCGGUGGAGCAUGUGGUUUAAUUCGAAGAUACACGAAGAACCUUACCUAGGCUUGACAUUGAGAGAAUCCGCUAGAAAUAGUGGAGUGUCUGGCUUGCCAGACCUUGAAAACAGGUGCUGCACGGCUGUCGUCAGCUCGUGUCGUGAGAUGUUGGGUUAAGUCCCGCAACGAGCGCAACCCCCUUUCUUAGUUGCUAACAGGUCAUGCUGAGAACUCUAAGGAUACUGCCUCCGUAAGGAGGAGGAAGGUGGGGACGACGUCAAGUCAUCAUGGCCCUUACGCCUAGGGCUACACACGUGCUACAAUGGGGUGCACAAAGAGAAGCAAUACUGCGAAGUGGAGCCAAUCUUCAAAACACCUCUCAGUUCGGAUUGUAGGCUGCAACUCGCCUGCAUGAAGCUGGAAUCGCUAGUAAUCGCAAAUCAGCCAUGUUGCGGUGAAUACGUUCCCGGGUCUUGUACUCACCGCCCGUCACACCAUGGGAGUUGUGUUUGCCUUAAGUCAGGAUGCUAAAUUGGCUACUGCCCACGGCACACACAGCGACUGGGGUGAAGUCGUAACAAGGUAACCGUAGGUGAACCUGCGGUUGGAUCACCUCCUUUCUAGA
RNAcentral lists this ribosomal RNA (698 nucleotides) under Helicobacter pylori E48. Its description in RNAcentral is "bacterial SSU rRNA". It matches the Rfam family "Bacterial small subunit ribosomal RNA", at positions 839 to 1533 of the family's 1533-position model. Lineage: Bacteria; Pseudomonadati; Campylobacterota; Epsilonproteobacteria; Campylobacterales; Helicobacteraceae. The record is from RNAcentral.